RNAcentral lists this ribosomal RNA (439 nucleotides) under uncultured bacterium. RNAcentral's name for it is "partial 16S ribosomal RNA". It matches the Rfam family "Bacterial small subunit ribosomal RNA", at positions 339 to 795 of the family's 1533-position model. The record is from RNAcentral.
CUACGGGGGGCAGCAGUGGGGAAUAUUGGGCAAUGGGCGAAAGCCUGACCCAGCAACGCCGCGUGAAGGAAGAAGGUUUUCGGAUCGUAAACUUCUAUCCCGGGUGAAGAUAAUGACGGUAGCCCGGAAGGAAGCCCCGGCUAACUACGUGCCAGCAGCCGCGGUAAUACGUAGGGGGCAAGCGUUGUCCGGAAUGAUUGGGCGUAAAGGGCGCGUAGGCGGCCUUUUAAGUCCGAUGUGAAAGUCCUGCUUUUAAGGUGGGAAUUGCAUUGGAAACUGGAAGGCUUGAGUGCAGGAGAGGUAAGUGGAAUUCCCGGUGUAGCGGUGAAAUGCGUAGAGAUCGGGAGGAACACCAGUGGCGAAGGCGACUUACUGGACUGUAACUGACGCUGAGGCGCGAAAGUGUGGGGAGCAAACAGGAUUAGAUACCCGAGUAGUC